AGGUUCCCAAGUCAUUCAUCAAAAUAUUUAUUACAUUCAUCAUGAACACCAAACUAUAGUUCAUCAAGUGACCUCAGUCACAAAGUCAUCUCAGAUAAAAUAAACAAAUGAAAUCUCACAUCCCUAUCUCACAAGUGACCUUAGUCACCAAACUAAUAGUUCAAGAGGUGUUGGCUACUAGGUCUUCUUGGUGUAUGGAGCAUGAGUGAAUACCUUAGGUUGCUGGAAUUUCUCCAUAUCCUAUAGAAAAUAUAUCAGAAACAAACAUCACUUGUUGAAACAAAUGAAAAUGUCAAAAAGGAACUUUACCUAUGUAAGCUGGAAUGAAUCAAACAUCAGUUAUAAUAAUCUAUGCAUAUAAGAUCUCACGACACCAAACAUCAUACAUUUUUCAGUAAAAACAUCAUGCAUUGUUUCCAUAACAAAUCAACUUACCAAGGCACAUCUCCAAUUAACUGUAACAUCCUGAAGUUAAAAAUCGGGAAACGUUUUUGUCGGUGUUUUGACCCCGAGGGGUGAUACCAACAAGUAAAUUUGUAUGCGUGCUCCCUUUCCGGAUGGUGAUGCAAGAGUGACACAAAGAUUUAUCCUGGUUCAGGCAGAAGAAGACCCUAUGUCCAGCGGGGGGG
RNAcentral lists this long non-coding RNA (629 nucleotides) under Sorghum bicolor (sorghum). Its description in RNAcentral is "long non-coding RNA (SBIC_LNC008312)". Lineage: Eukaryota; Viridiplantae; Streptophyta; Magnoliopsida; Poales; Poaceae. The record is from RNAcentral.